This is a long non-coding RNA of Gallus gallus (chicken), 1074 nucleotides long. RefSeq lists it as uncharacterized. The record is from RefSeq and is a predicted model, not a curated record. Lineage: Eukaryota; Metazoa; Chordata; Aves; Galliformes; Phasianidae. The transcript has 3 exons.
CCUCAUUUGCUAAUGGGAGAACAGUACAUUUGAGGAAACUGGUGAGGCUUGUUUUGUCACUCUGGGGGAAACAGGUUUUGAGAGUGAGUUAUAUAGGGAAGUUGUUUUUUUUUUUUUUUGUUAUUUUUGGGCCAAGUUAUAAACACCUUACAGAGGCAAAGUCCCAAUACAGACUACUUCUCAGAAGAACUAGUGACUAAGCCGGUGUUUUUGACAUCAAAUCUGAAUUUAGUGCUGCAGCAGAAUUGCCUGGUCAUGGCCUGAAUCAAUGGUUGAGCUACAGGUGAGAAGGCGUGGAUAAUCCAGGGAGCUCAGGUGCAAGCAAUGGGUCCACCCCUUCUCAUUCUCAUUUAAGUGUUAGCAGCCAAGGGAGCAGUUUGUUAUGUGUCCCUUGGAAAAAUCUGUCUCACGUCUUUUUCCAGAAAGCAGAAGUUCUGGGAAUGGGGAGAGAUUGUCUUCUGUCCUACCUAUGAAUUAAUAACUACAUCUGCUGGCCACAUGGGUUGGAAUGAAGCUAUUUCACACUUCUUUUUCAGGUGCGGUUGCUGGGAGAACAAGCCUGGAUGGAGAGCUCUCAUACAAGUGUGGUGCACACGACUGUUCUACGUAACCCUCUUCCAUAAGUACCAUUAGCACUAGGGAGUGCCAAAUUAAGAGCAAUGUGAAAUCUUUGCAAAUAGUGACUAAAUGAUGGAGACAAUAACAAUGUAAAUAACUUGGUAAUUUAAAUAGCUGGUUUAUAAAUAAACCAGAGUCAAUAUAUAUUCCUGCUGGUCUCUAAAGAAAUUAGACCAGUAAAUUCCUGUGAAUCACAAUAAGGAACAUAUUUUGUGCAUUUAAAAUAAAUCUCAAAGCUGCAUGAUGAAGUACUUUUAAUUAUUGCAGAGUGGUACAGGCAGCAGCUUUAUAUAUUUUAUCUCUCAAAUCAAUAACAAAAGAAGUGCUUUGCAGGAACUGAUGCUGUACUUUCAGAAGAAAAGAAGUUGUACUUAAAAUGAUACAGUCAAAUGCUCACCUUAGUUUGUCCUUGCUAGUCAUUUUAUUUGGAAUAUAUCCUAAAAUACAGUUGGUUAC